Long non-coding RNA from Monomorium pharaonis (pharaoh ant), 425 nucleotides. RefSeq lists it as uncharacterized. The record is from RefSeq and is a predicted model, not a curated record. The transcript is spliced from 2 exons. Lineage: Eukaryota; Metazoa; Arthropoda; Insecta; Hymenoptera; Formicidae.
CCCACCCAGUCCAAGUCAAUGUAAACUUUACUUUGCUUGCAAUGUAUGUACAUGGAUUGCUCAUAGGAACGCAGAUAGCAAACACAAGUCAUUUUGACAUCAAAUUUUUGUCAUUCCCUGACUAUUAUUGACGUCACUAAUUGACGUCUUAAUGACGUUAAAAUAACGGUCUAAUUACUAAAUAACGGUCACUGAUUGUUGACGUCACAAUAAAGACGACAUUUUAACGUCAUUUUUAUGACUAUCCCAGAUGCAAGAAAUUCUUUUUCUCUCCUGUUCUCUAGUCUUCUUGCUUUCUACCAGACGGCAAGUAUUUCCACGUUUAUGUACCGGCCAUAUAUUUAAAAGUAACGAUAAAAGUAACUGCGUUUCGUUACUCGUUACAAAAGAAAAUAUAACGUCGUUACUUUUUCGUUACUAAAAAA